UAUAAUGUUUUGACUCUUCGUCUUAUUUGAAUUUUUUUGCGAUUAAUAUUUUUAUUCUUGCUAGAUGAUAAAACAUGAAUAAUAUUUUAUGUGUGACUAAUUUUUUUAAGUUUUUUAACAAAAUUUCCAAAUAAAACGAAUGAUUAAACAUUGGACACGUAAAAACA
RNAcentral lists this microRNA precursor (167 nucleotides) under Oryza brachyantha (malo sina). Its description in RNAcentral is "MIR812 microRNA precursor family". It matches the Rfam family "MIR812 microRNA precursor family", at positions 27 to 191 of the family's 205-position model. Lineage: Eukaryota; Viridiplantae; Streptophyta; Magnoliopsida; Poales; Poaceae. The record is from Rfam by way of RNAcentral.